RNAcentral lists this ribosomal RNA (433 nucleotides) under uncultured bacterium. RNAcentral's name for it is "partial 16S ribosomal RNA". It matches the Rfam family "Bacterial small subunit ribosomal RNA", at positions 29 to 507 of the family's 1533-position model. The record is from RNAcentral.
AACGAACGCUGGCGGCAUGCCUAACACAUGCAAGUCGAACGAGACCUUCGGGUCUAGUGGCGAACGGGUGCGUAACGCGUGGGAAUCUGCCCUUGGGUUCGGAAUAACAGUUGGAAACGACUGCUAAUACCGGAUGAUGACGUAAGUCCAAAGAUUUAUCGCCCAGGGAUGAGCCCGCGUAGGAUUAGCUAGUUGGUGGGGUAAAGGCCUACCAAGGCGACGAUCCUUAGCUGGUCUGAGAGGAUGAUCAGCCACACUGGGACUGAGACACGGCCCAGACUCCUACGGGAGGCAGCAGUGGGGAAUAUUGGACAAUGGGCGGAAGCCUGAUCCAGCAAGGCCGCGUGAGUGAUGAAGGCCUUAGGGUUGUAAAGCUCUUUUACCCGGGAUGAUAAUGACAGUACCGGGAGAAUAAGCCCCGGCUAACUCCGUG